ACUCCUACGGGAGGCAGCAGUGGGGAAUAUUGCACAAUGGGCGCAAGCCUGAUGCAGCCAUGCCGCGUGUAUGAAGAAGGCCUUCGGGUUGUAAAGUACUUUCAGCAGUGAGGAAGGUGGGUAUGUUAAUAGCAUACUCAUUUGACGUUAGCUGCAGAAGAAGCACCGGCUAACUCCGUGCCAGCAGCCGCGGUAAUACGGAGGGUGCGAGCGUUAAUCGGAAUUACUGGGCGUAAAGCGUACGCAGGCGGUUUGUUAAGCGAGAUGUGAAAGCCCCGGGCUCAACCUGGGAACUGCAUUUCGAACUGGAAAACUAGAGUGUGAUAGAGGGUGGUAGAAUUUCAGGUGUAGCGGUGAAAUGCGUAGAGAUCUGAAGGAAUACCGAUGGCGAAGGCAGCCACCUGGGUCAACACUGACGCUCAUGUACGAAAGCGUGGGGAGCAAAACGGGAUUAGAUACCCUGGUAGACUGUC
Molecule: ribosomal RNA, 473 nt
Filed under: uncultured bacterium
Lineage: Bacteria
Description: bacterial SSU rRNA
Rfam family: Bacterial small subunit ribosomal RNA
Source: RNAcentral